This 766-nucleotide long non-coding RNA is filed under the name Brassica napus (rape). RNAcentral's name for it is "long non-coding RNA (BNAP_LNC018329)". Lineage: Eukaryota; Viridiplantae; Streptophyta; Magnoliopsida; Brassicales; Brassicaceae. The record is from RNAcentral.
UUGGACUUUCGAUUCGUUAUCCGUUUUGAUUCGAAUCGAAAAAUCUGGAUAGUGUGAGUUUUAUUGGAACAUUAUAUGUGAGUUUUAUAUUUAAAACAAAACGUAAAGUACGUGUGAACACAUUUAUAUAGAGUUUAGCUUAGAAGAUCUGUACACGUGACACAUCAACGUGCUCAUUCUCAAAUCGCACGUUUCUAUUAUAUUGUGAAUGCAUUUAUUACAAUAUUUCACGUUUAAUAUAUAACGGAUUAGAGGCAAGGCUGUGUAUCACGUACCAAUACUUAUUCAUUUGUUAUCAUAAAUUCAGUUAGAGAAUAUUUUAAUAUCCAUACUGUAAUUAUAUAUUAUCAUUUUUCUUGGAUUUUUACAUUUUUCCUUAUAAAGCUGCAUAUCAAUCUUAUUAUUUAAUAUAGUCUAUCUCUUUAUUUUGAUUAAUGGUUAGCGGAAAGCCAAUCCUUAGCUUAUGCAUCACUUAAUAGGCUUUUAAUAAUUAAAAAAAAAUUGUUCGCAAUAAACAAACUGAUAUAGUCAAACUUUAUAUGCCGUAUAUAACCGUGUAAAAAUUAAUAUAUAAUUAAAAAGUGUAAUUAUAAGGUAAAUUAAAAUGAUACACUACAAGAAAAUAGCGGCAUACUGAGAGAAUAAAUCGUCGGUAUGUCGUCGGAAUAACGCUAUUCCGACGACAUACCGGCGAAAAAAGUCCUCGGAAAUAACUCUUCGGAAAUUCAUCUUUCCUCGGAAAUCCCUCGGAAAUGUCCGACGGAAU